This 422-nucleotide ribosomal RNA is filed under the name uncultured bacterium. RNAcentral describes it as "partial 16S ribosomal RNA". It matches the Rfam family "Bacterial small subunit ribosomal RNA", at positions 360 to 774 of the family's 1533-position model. The record is from RNAcentral.
AAUCUUCCACAAUGGACGAAAGUCUGAUGGAGCAACGCCGCGUGAGUGAAGAAGGUUCUCGGAUAGUAAAGCCCUUUUGUAAGGGAAGAACAAGUCCAGGAGUAAAUGUAUGUACCUUGACGGUACCUUCCCAGAAAGCCACGGCUAACUACAUGCAAGCAGCCGCGGGAAUACGUAGGUGGCAAGCGUUGUACGGAAGUAUUGGGCGUAAAGCGCGCGCAGGCGGUCCUUUAAGUCUGAUGUGAAAGCCCACGGCUCAACCGUGGAGGGUCAUUGGAAACUGGAGGACUUGAGUACAGAAGAGGAAAGCGGAAUUCCACGUGUAGCGGUGAAAUGCGUAGAGAUGUGGAGGAACACCAGUGGCGAAGGCGGCUUUCUGGUCUGUAACUGACGCUGAGGCGCGAAAGCGUGGGGAGCAAACA